CCUACGGGAGGCAGCAGUAGGGAAUGUUCGUCAAUGGGCGCAAGCCUGAACGAGCGAUGCCGCGUGAGUGAAGAAGGCCUUCGGGUCGUAAAGCUCUGUUGCGGGGGAAAAAAGGCAGCAUCAGGAAAUGGGUGCUGACUGAUGGUGCCCCGCCAGAAAGUCACGGCUAACUACGUGCCAGCAGCCGCGGUAAUACGUAGGUGGCGAGCGUUAUCCGGAAUGAUUGGGCGUAAAGGGUGCGCAGGCGGUCCGGGAAGUCUGGAGUGAAACGCAUGAGCUCAACUCAUGCAUGGCGUUGGAAACUGGAGGACUGGAGGGCAGGAGAGGGCGGUGGAACUCCAUGUGUAGCGGUGAAAUGCGUAGAUAUAUGGAAGAACACCAGUGGCGAAGGCGGCCGCCUGGCCUGUUGCUGACGCUGAGGCACGAAAGCGUGGGGAGCAAAUAGGAUUAGAUACCCUUGUAGUC
Molecule: ribosomal RNA, 465 nt
Filed under: uncultured bacterium
Lineage: Bacteria
Description: partial 16S ribosomal RNA
Rfam family: Bacterial small subunit ribosomal RNA
Source: RNAcentral